This 1190-nucleotide long non-coding RNA is filed under the name Sorghum bicolor (sorghum). RNAcentral describes it as "long non-coding RNA (SBIC_LNC012579)". The record is from RNAcentral. Lineage: Eukaryota; Viridiplantae; Streptophyta; Magnoliopsida; Poales; Poaceae.
UGUAAGAAAUGAAAUUGCUUGGUAUAUAAUGUCCAUUAUGCUUCUUGUGGUUAUUUUGAUAUGUUGUAGUGGUUGAUUGAUCCACUACCUUGGGAUGUAGUUGUGGCAACUCAUGUUGUAGUGGUUGAUUGAUCCACUACCUUGGGAUGUAGUUGUGAGAACUUUAUGAGGUUUGACAAUACUUGCUUCUGUACAUGAAACACUUGUUAUUUUGAAUCCUUUAUGAUGCACUAAUCCUUCAUCUGAGUUCAGUCACUGUUUAUCUUUUAUAUUCUAUUGCUGGUUAAUGGUUUUGUUCCAGCACUCUCCUACAUUAGAACUUUGCAGAGUGAGUUCCUGUUAAGAGGAAAAACUUAGGAAAUUUGUGAUGCAAUCUCAAAUCUUUAAUCUUUAAUCAAACUAGUACAGUAGUUUACUUUGUCAGUGGUUCAACUUUUUUUAAUUGAAAGGUAAUACACUAUAAUAUUGCAACUACACUAAUAAGAAAAGAGAACAUCGGUAAACAACUAAACAAUGAAUAAACAAAGAUCAAUGAUUUAGUUGCAGUGCUGAUGCAAUUGUUUCUCCACAUGAAUAACUUUACCCUGAAAACACUGUUGGACUAUGAUUGUAACUCUCCUUUCAUUUGAGGAUAUCCUGUAUUUUCUGAGAAAAUUGCAGAUUUCCUUUCAUGUUAUUUAUGUAUUCAGAAUUAUUACUUUAGCUACUGCCCUGUGCCCUUUUGGAAUUGCUGUUUUUUCUUCCUAAUACAGUUCUCCAAAAUCUUAAUGAAUAGCUAUGUCUGACAAUCAAAGAUUAUCCUUCUGAUAAUUCUUGUCACGCAGUACACAGUUCCCAUGAUACUCAUGAAUUCUCUCGGCAUUGGUUACUUGUUAUAUAUUCUUUAGCUAUAUUUCCUUUUGAUAAUUCUUGUCACACAGUACACAAUUUCCAUGAUAUUAAUGGAUUCUCUUGGCAUUGGUUUCCUGUUAUAUAUUCUUGAGCUAUAUGAAUUAUACAUGUUAGCAGCAUUUGGUUUCAGCAUAUCAUUUUGAGGCAUGCAUCACCUUUGCAAGCAAUUCAUUUGGUUUCAGCAUAUCAUUUUGAGGCAUGCAUCACCUUUGCAAGCAAUUUACGCUUUCUCAGUCUAUAUAUAUGGCUCUGAGGGGGUUUCCUGCUGGGUGUUUGCCAUAAUAUGCUAUCCCCCCCCC